Carassius auratus (goldfish) is the source of this 868-nucleotide long non-coding RNA. RefSeq lists it as uncharacterized. Lineage: Eukaryota; Metazoa; Chordata; Actinopteri; Cypriniformes; Cyprinidae. The transcript is spliced from 3 exons. The record is from RefSeq and is a predicted model, not a curated record.
GGUUUAUUUGAAUGCAUGAUUUGAUCCACUAAUUAUAGGGGUCCUUGCAAGCGCAAUCUGUGCCAAAUUCACCUGAGUUACAAUGAUCCAACUCAUUUACAUUACAAAAGAAUUAGGUGGGCAUGAGGAGCCACUGGCCGUUACAUGACCUUAAAAAACCUCAUUAUUCAUCCGGCAAUGAGCUGCUUAUUAUCGUGCAUACGGGUUCGAAACAAAGGGAUGACAAAACCGUGCACGCGAGAGCGCGCAAGGCACGUGAGCGUCAAACAACAAAAUAAUUCACCGUUUAUAACGUUACAACCAUGGCUGGACCAUGGCUGCGUGUCAGUUGCAUAAGCGUGUUGUAUAUACAGACGUAAAGCGUUAUAACACUUCAAUGAACACACCAGACAGACUCUUUGUCUAGCAAUGCUGUAAUGACAAUGAGCUCUCGGAUUGACUGUGGGUUAGGAUUGAUGAUUCUGGGAGAGGAUGCCAAAUCUCUGCCUUCAGACCCUUCUGAAGCUUCACAUGGCCCGAAGACAGGAUAGUUCUCAGGAAACGGCAUUGCAGGAAGCAUCCUGGCUGUGGCAGUUGGAGCACAUAUACUGCUCCAUUUUGAUGGGCAUUUGCCAGAACAGCCACUGUGCUGAAAUGAAGAAAACUGGAGAGUCCAACUCUGCUCAGUGCAGACUUAUAACCUUGCUAAGACAACAUUAGUGCUUUAAGCAAAAAGAAGGACAUGUCAAGUCUACAUGAGACUCAUAUUGAAAAUGUCUAUAUACAGUGGCUUCCAAAAAGUAUUUGGUCACAUGAAAUUAAGUUUAGUCAUUUUUAAAUGAUAAAACAAUAGUCAAAAGAAUUGGGGAAUGUUUGUAAUCUUGUGAUG